Molecule: ribosomal RNA, 253 nt
Filed under: uncultured bacterium
Lineage: Bacteria
Description: partial 16S ribosomal RNA
Rfam family: Bacterial small subunit ribosomal RNA
Source: RNAcentral
UACGUAGGGUGCGAGCGUUGUCCGGAAUUAUUGGGCGUAAAGAGCUUGUAGGCGGUCUGUCGCGUCUGCUGUGAAAAUCCGGGGCUCAACCCCGGACCUGCAGUGGGUACGGGCAGACUAGAGUGUGGUAGGGGAGACUGGAAUUCCUGGUGUAGCGGUGAAAUGCGCAGAUAUCAGGAGGAACACCGAUAGCGAAAGCACUCUGCUGGGCCUGAACUGACACUGAGAGACGAAAGCUAGGGGAGCAAAAAGG